Molecule: transfer RNA, 85 nt
Filed under: Chloroflexota bacterium
Lineage: Bacteria; Bacillati; Chloroflexota
Also listed under: 2 other names
Description: Chloroflexi bacterium (marine sediment metagenome) tRNA-Leu
Rfam family: tRNA
About the family: Transfer RNA (tRNA) molecules are approximately 80 nucleotides in length. Their secondary structure includes four short double-helical elements and three loops (D, anti-codon, and T loops). Further hydrogen bonds mediate the characteristic L-shaped molecular structure. tRNAs have two regions of fundamental functional importance: the anti-codon, which is responsible for specific mRNA codon recognition, and the 3' end, to which the tRNAs corresponding amino acid is attached (by aminoacyl-tRNA synthetases). tRNAs cope with the degeneracy of the genetic code in two manners: having more than one tRNA (with a specific anti-codon) for a particular amino acid; and 'wobble' base-pairing, i.e. permitting non-standard base-pairing at the 3rd anti-codon position.
Source: RNAcentral
GCGCUGGUGCUGGAAUUGGUAGACAGGCAUGGUUGAGGGCCAUGUGCCGCGAGGCGUGUGGGUUCAACUCCCACCCAGCGCACCA